This 426-nucleotide ribosomal RNA is filed under the name uncultured prokaryote. RNAcentral describes it as "bacterial SSU rRNA". It matches the Rfam family "Bacterial small subunit ribosomal RNA", at positions 355 to 796 of the family's 1533-position model. The record is from RNAcentral.
UGGGGAAUUUUCCGCAAUGGGCGCAAGCCUGACGGAGCAACGCCGCGUGAGGGAGGAAGGUCUGUGGAUUGUAAACCUCUUUUCUCUGGGAAGAAGAACUGACGGUACCAGAGGAAUCAGCAUCGGCUAACUCCGUGCCAGCAGCCGCGGUAAGACGGAGGAUGCAAGCGUUAUCCGGAAUUAUUGGGCGUAAAGCGUCCGUAGGCGGUUAAGUAAGUCAGCUGUUAAAGACCGGGGCUCAACCCUGGGAUGGCAGUUGAAACUGCGUGACUUGAGCGUGGUAGGGGUAGAGGGAAUUCCUAGUGUAGCGGUGAAAUGCGUAGAUAUUAGGAAGAACACCAGUGGCGAAGGCGCUCUACUGGGCCAUGACUGACGCUGAUGGACGAAAGCUAGGGGAGCGAAAGGGAUUAGAUACCCCCGUAGUCC